Molecule: ribosomal RNA, 429 nt
Filed under: Actinomycetes bacterium
Lineage: Bacteria; Bacillati; Actinomycetota; Actinomycetes
Description: Actinobacteria bacterium partial 16S ribosomal RNA
Rfam family: Bacterial small subunit ribosomal RNA
Source: RNAcentral
UAGGGAAUCUUCCGCAAUGGGCGAAAGCCUGACGGAGCAACGCCGCGUGAGUGAUGAAGGUCUUCGGAUCGUAAAACUCUGUUAUUAGGGAAGAACAAAUGUGUAAGUAACUAUGCACGUCUUGACGGUACCUAAUCAGAAAGCCACGGCUAACUACGUGCCAGCAGCCACGGUAAUACGUAGGUGGCAAGCGUUAUCCGGAAUUAUUGGGCGUAAAGCGCGCGUAGGCGGUUUUUUAAGUCUGAUGUGAAAGCCCACGGCUCAACCGUGGAGGGUCAUUGGAAACUGGAAAACUUGAGUGCAGAAGAGGAAAGUGGAAUUCCAUGUGUAGCGGUGAAAUGCGCAGAGAUAUGGAGGAACACCAGUGGCGAAGGCGACUUUCUGGUCUGUAACUGACGCUGAUGUGCGAAAGCGUGGGGAUCAAACAGG